UCGCAGGAGUGGUUGGAGAGCAAACUUAGUUGAUUCGUCAUAACAAUUCAAAGUCAGCUGAGUAGGGGGUUUCUAGCAGAUAUUGAGAGUCGUCAGUGUCAUUCUUUUGGCUUGCCGGACUAGUAUUAGU
Long non-coding RNA from Trifolium pratense (red clover), 130 nucleotides. RefSeq lists it as uncharacterized. The record is from RefSeq and is a predicted model, not a curated record. The transcript is spliced from 3 exons. NCBI's taxonomy places the organism in Eukaryota, Viridiplantae, Streptophyta, Magnoliopsida, Fabales, Fabaceae.